This 303-nucleotide ribosomal RNA is filed under the name uncultured bacterium. RNAcentral's name for it is "bacterial SSU rRNA". It matches the Rfam family "Bacterial small subunit ribosomal RNA", at positions 355 to 675 of the family's 1533-position model. The record is from RNAcentral.
UGGGGGAUAUUGCACAAUGGGGGAAACCCUGAUGCAGCGACGCCGCGUGGAGGAAGAAGGCCUUCGGGUUGUAAACUCCUGUCCGAGGGGACGAUAAUGACGGUACCCUUGGAGGAAGCACCGGCUAACUACGUGCCAGCAGCCGCGGUAAAACGUAGGGUGCAAGCGUUGUCCGGAAUUACUGGGUGUAAAGGGAGCGCAGGCGGAUUUGCAAGUUGGGAGUGAAAACUAUGGGCUCAACCCAUAACCUGCUUUCAAAACUGCAGAUCUUGAGUGGUGUAGAGGUAGGCGGAAUUCCCGGUG